RNAcentral lists this long non-coding RNA (530 nucleotides) under Drosophila melanogaster (fruit fly). Its description in RNAcentral is "long non-coding RNA:CR45465 (Dmel_CR45465)". The record is from RNAcentral. Lineage: Eukaryota; Metazoa; Arthropoda; Insecta; Diptera; Drosophilidae.
CCCCGAAUUCAGUUGGCUCGAAUUGAGUUGGCCGGGUUGAUGGUCCGCAUGCAAAUGGCUUACAUCGAUCGACCAAAAGGCCAGCCAAACAGGUACCAUCCAUUUGGCGACGAGUUGGAGUUGGAAGACCGUCCUUUCGUCCAAAGUGCCAGCCAAAAAUUGAGACUUCAAGGCUGAAGAGGACACGCCAUGGGCGUAGUUUCGGUCUGGAUCUGUAUCUUUAAAUUAUACUAUAUAUACAUUGCAUAUAUGCAGACGGACGGAUGAAAGACUUGGUAAUGAGUAACACACCCAAUUAGUUGGAAGGUAAUGUCUUAAACGCCACUCCCGCAAAUCAAAAAUUUAGCAUUAUUACUUUUGGUAAAAUAAGGUAAGAUAAUAUACAUUAUAUAUGUAUAAUUGAAAUAAGAGCACAUUUUUAUAAACUAUCAUUUAGAAAUAUUAAAAUAUGAUGAAAUUAACAAGAGCAAGUACUAAUGUAAUAAAUGUAUCUUACAAAUUGAAUGUUGUAUAUCUAUUAGAAACAUGGU